UUGUCUUUACAUUCCUAUUUCAUUUUGGAAUUCCAUUAUCCACUUUGUUUCUUUUUCUUAAUUCAAUUGAGCAUUAGAUUAUUUUGUCUUCUUUUUACAAAAUUUGUCUAAUUCUCUUUGCAAUUUUUCCUAUCCAUUUCCACUACCUUUUUCAUAUAAUUUCUAUCAUUUCCAUAACCUUCAAGCAUGAUUAAAUUCAUGCCACACUAAACCCCUUUCAGCUUUAAGCCGGUGUUAACCCCGUUAAAAAACCCGUGAGUUACAAACCCGAGCUGUUUAACUCCCAACUUUCGAUAUUUAUUAUUUCUCCGGAUUAAGAGUAUGACUUCGUCAACUCACAAAGUCAAGGCAACACUAAGUCAAAAAAGACGUCAUUUGAGUUAGUGUGGCUAGACGUACAGUUGGAAUUCCGAAUGGAUCGAUUGUCUAAUUGGUCUUCCUUGAACACAUUGGCAUGCCAAGUGGGGAUUGCUGUUUGGUUCCGUUAAGGGAAGUAGUAACCAGAUUUAAAUGUCUCAACGUUUGAGGGUAUUAGUUCGAGUUAGGCUCUUCUAGAACGCAAAACUGCCGGAGUUCUAAAUCACGAACGUUUCGUAGGUUGUUUGAUCGGUAAGGGUUAGUUAUAGGACGUUCCAUAACUAAUUUACACAAGGAAGAGUUGGUGUCCGAGGCGUCCUUGGUAGCUAUAACUAGCUUAUCGAAAAAGAAGAGUUCACCUAAUUUCGAGGAACGGGUCAAAGACGGGAAAACCCGUGCUUAAGGCUGAGCUAAGUUUUAUUGAUUUUCCUUUAAAUUAUUUUGUUAUUUAUUUUUAUUUCAUCUUUUUAUUUUUAUUUCAUCUUUUACCUUUUACUUUUUACGUUUUUUUGUGUUUAUUUCAGGUUUCAUAUUUUAUUUCCCCCUUAAACGUCGCGGGCAUGACAACUACCCAGACACUAAUCUGGUAAAGAAACAAACAAUUUUCAGUAAUUCCAGUCUCUGUGGGAUCGACCCUACUCCCUAUACUGCUUUAAUUUGCAAACUAGGUGUAGGUUUAUAUUGGUGGAAUCGACAACCAUCAAUUUUUAAAAGUUUAGUGAUUAAAUUGAAAGUUGAGUGAUUGUUGAUGUAAUUGACCCAUUGAAUAAUUAUGUUUACUGCUAUCCAUUUGGUAAUUAUAUCCUAUAGGGACAUGAGAACUCUUAUAAAGAAGAAUGGAAUUUCAUUUGCAUGACAAAAAAAAAAUAGAAAUGAAUUUUUUUUCUAUGCUCUCACCAUCUUUUAUAUUCAUAGAUUGUUCUAUAAAAUAUUACUGCAAAAAUUAUUUAUAGAAAUUGAUAUACUUGAUGUGCUCCACUC
This 1338-nucleotide long non-coding RNA is filed under the name Gossypium barbadense (sea-island cotton). RNAcentral's name for it is "long non-coding RNA (GBAR_LNC008483)". Lineage: Eukaryota; Viridiplantae; Streptophyta; Magnoliopsida; Malvales; Malvaceae. The record is from RNAcentral.